UGGGGAAUUUUGGACAAUGGGGGAAACCCUGAUCCAGCCACCCCGCGUGUGCGAUGAAGGCCUUCGGGUUGUAAAGCACUUUUGGCAGGAAAGAAACGUCAUGGGUUAAUACCCCGUGAAACUGACGGUACCUGCAGAAUAAGCACCGGCUAACUACGUGCCAGCAGCCGCGGUAAUACGUAGGGUGCAAGCGUUAAUCGGAAUUACUGGGCGUAAAGCGUGCGCAGGCGGUUCGGAAAGAAAGAUGUGAAAUCCCAGAGCUCAACUUUGGAACUGCAUUUUUAACUACCGGGCUAGAGUGUGUCAGAGGGAGGUGGAAUUCCGCGUGUAGCAGUGAAAUGCGUAGAUAUGCGGAGGAACACCGAUGGCGAAGGCAGCCUCCUGGGAUAACACUGACGCUCAUGCACGAAAGCGUGGGGAGCAAACAGG
This 429-nucleotide ribosomal RNA is filed under the name Acidobacteriota bacterium. RNAcentral describes it as "Acidobacteria bacterium partial 16S ribosomal RNA". It matches the Rfam family "Bacterial small subunit ribosomal RNA", at positions 355 to 776 of the family's 1533-position model. Lineage: Bacteria; Pseudomonadati; Acidobacteriota. The record is from RNAcentral.